GAGGAUAUAGCUCAGUGGUAGAGUGCCUGCCUAGCAUGCACAAGACCCCGGGUUCAAUCCCCAGUACCUCCA
RNAcentral lists this transfer RNA (72 nucleotides) under Camelus bactrianus (Bactrian camel). It matches the Rfam family "tRNA". Rfam says of the family: Transfer RNA (tRNA) molecules are approximately 80 nucleotides in length. Their secondary structure includes four short double-helical elements and three loops (D, anti-codon, and T loops). Further hydrogen bonds mediate the characteristic L-shaped molecular structure. tRNAs have two regions of fundamental functional importance: the anti-codon, which is responsible for specific mRNA codon recognition, and the 3' end, to which the tRNAs corresponding amino acid is attached (by aminoacyl-tRNA synthetases). tRNAs cope with the degeneracy of the genetic code in two manners: having more than one tRNA (with a specific anti-codon) for a particular amino acid; and 'wobble' base-pairing, i.e. permitting non-standard base-pairing at the 3rd anti-codon position. The record is from Rfam by way of RNAcentral. RNAcentral also lists the same sequence under 2 other names. Lineage: Eukaryota; Metazoa; Chordata; Mammalia; Artiodactyla; Camelidae.